GCUAGAACAAACAUGAAUUAUUUGAACUUUUGAUUGAAACAGUCAGAUUUGCCUGUUUCAUUUAAAAGUUAAGACUGCCAAGUAAUGCUACUCUUUGACAACUUUUUGCCACUUUCCAAAAGAUGCUAUGGAACAAUUACAGGAAUGGUAUUCCAACAUUAGAAUUUUUCCUAUAAAUUGUAAUAGAUGAAAAUAAUAUUGGAGAAAGGAAAUCAGUGGACCAGGUGAAUCUGAGACCUGUGGACAUUCAUUUACUUGUUCAGAAGGUGUAAAAACAUUUGAGAUUAUGCAACUUUUAAGGAUUGAGUUUAGCCUAUUAUUGAUUUAUAUGAUAUGUGGCAUAUCCUAUGCGAACGAUGUCAUGAGAAGAAUAUGUGCUGUGAGAUGGUUGUCAUGGCAUAAUGAGUUUUCCGGUCAUUCGUUUUUGCGUACGUUCAGAUGGUUUCCAGCAAGAAGCAUCUUUAUCUGUCGAACUUAAAGUUCUCAAAUGCUCUUUACAUAUAUAUUUAUAUCUAUAUAUUUAUUUAUUUCUUUUUCUUUACUCUUGUUCAUACGGUGACAUUUUAUGAAGAGAUUCCGAUGGGGAAAAUCAAAUCAAGCCGUAUACUGGAAAAAUCAGCAACUCUCAAUCCAUUAGAUGACCGUCGGCUGCUUCGGUUUUGCCCGGCGUCGAUUUAUCAUGGUGACCAUAAUGGACAUUACUCUUACUGGACAUUUUCUGUUGAUUCACGAACUGUUAAGUUAAUCUGGGGCUUCUUCAUUCGGCUCCUGGUUGCGACUGGCAUCAGUGACUACAAUGUCUUCGUCCGGAUUCUCAGAAAGUUCUCCUGUCUGAGACCAUCCAUUGUUAUACCCGGAUCACAGUGUAUGAACACAUCGCGUCCGGCUGCAGUGACCAGGGCGGGCUGAAAUUGGUGACAACACGUAUAUACCAGGUAAACUCAUCCAAUUCGAAAGAUUUCGGAAAAACCUUUGUAGAAAAGUGUUGUCUAAAUUUGGCCGCAACGCAUUCAGGAAUGGAGCUUAACGUUUUGCAUAGAUGAAGAACAGAAUAAGAAAGAAUCAAAACAAGAACUGCAUACAACUACAGCAAAAAGAUUGGAAAAACUUGCGUAAUGUACCAGGUCACCAAUAGGUGUCAGGGGUGUCUGGUGUCGCCACUUUUGUCGCCACUUGUGUCGGUGAAAGAAAACGCAUCCCUUUUUGGCCGAAAAUGCGACGGGCCUGUUCCGGUUUAUCGAUGAAGACUGUGUUGAGUUGGAAGUUGGAACUGAGUUACUCAUCUCCACAAGGAAAGUACACACGAAAACCAUUGAUACUUAACAUCCAUCACAUUGAAAAAUCCUCGAAUGAAUUUUACUUUAUUCCGUGCUAGUUGACAGUUGAUACCAGAGAUUUGGGAACAACAAAGGUUACUGUUACACUGUUAAGUUUAGGAAACUUUUCAGCCACUUCUCUGGGAAUGUCGAUAGAAAUGGUAUACAGUAAAAUCAUGUUAAUGAUGAAACAAGAGGGCAUAGCCUGGAAGAGCUGCAACUGCUGUAGCUCAGAUGUCAGCAGAUUUGUAAAUCGGCUGUAUCUGCUGUGGGAAAUAAGACUACUGAGGUUGCAUAGAUGUUACUGAGAUGAGCUUCAUCUAAAUGCUGGCAAAGCUUAUCUGUCAAAUAGAAACAGAAUAAACAGGAAUAGGUUGAAAUUGAGCCCGAAAUACCCACAUUGUGAUGAAUUAUUGCAUAUUAACAUGCAGAUAACUGUAACAAGUGUGACUCUUGUUGAGAAAAGGAUUGAAACAAUAGCGGACGAAAAGGAAACUGCUUUAAAACCGGUUUUGAAUGACACCAGCUAUUCCGAUGACGAUGUUUGGGAACCGAGCAUUUGAAAAGAAAAAACCCGUAUUCCAGUUACUAAGCCUUCACGACAUUCGACAAACAAAAAGGAAAAGGCUAAAGUAAGACAUCGUCCCUUUGCUGCUUUGGGGGACCACCGUCGCCAAAAGAGAAAUCACUUCAUCUAUAGAUUUGGUAGGUGAAAAGCCAAAUAGAUAAAUUUCUUGCACGGAGUAAGCAACAGGUAGGUCGUAUCUAGGUAGGUCGUGCAGGCAAAGAUAAAUAGUCAAAUUUAAUUAAAUAGCCUUCAUUUGUGCUGAAGAACCGUUCAUGGAAGCUGAUUUCGAUGAGACGCAAGUGCUGAUUCGUCUGAUGGUCGAUUAUGCCAACAUGGCAGCCAAGAAACAUGCCUUGCUCAAUCGGAUUGAAAUCGUGACAUCGGAAAAAGGAGUCUUCUUCUGGAAGAACUGUCCAGUCGCAACCAGUAUGUUGCCACGCUACUGCCUAUUCGCGCUGGAGCUUGCCGAACUUAAAGCUAUUGCGUAGCACUGAGCUAUUUAUUAGUUAUAGCUUUGGCAUUAUGAAGAGUGUUGUUCAUCUAUUUGUUCUUGUUUUUUUUUUUUUCCUGAAAUUGAAUAUUCACAAAAUUUUGUAUGUUUGUAAAUGGGUAAAAUCUAUUCAGAUUGGUAUCAUGAAGUAUGACUGUAGGAAAGGGUACAUAGGCUUCUAAAAGUGAAGAACAGCUCUGAUGUCUUUGGUAAGCGGAAAAUGAACUGCAUUUUGAAGCUUCAGAUGACGGUUUUAAGACUCUUUCGUUUGCUUUGCCCAAUGAAUCUGUACUUGGAACUGGCAGGUGGCGUUAUUCUUAAAACCCAGAGGUGUUUUUCAUUUUUCAGGGGGAUUGAUUGAUGAUUCUUGUUGGUUAGACCAUGAAGAAAACCAAUACAUGGAUAAGUGGAGGAUUAUAACAGCAAAAAACUGUAAUUCCUCAUGGCAUUUUCAUUCACGCAUGCGUGGUAGUUCGUGAGCAGACGAACCAUUGAAAGAACCUUGUGCAGUCUAGCUGCAUCCAGCCAGAUACCAGUAGAACCCGAAACAUUGUUUUGACAAGUACUGCCAUAUUUCGGUUGCAGGUUUUCACUAAAUACCAAGUAAGUUACGGGUUUAAUCAUGAUGAAUGUAUGAUUUUUCGAUUCAAAUCUAUUUAGGUGUCAGAACUGAAAUUGUACUUUUAAAACACUGCAUAACUUUUAUUAACAAUAGUUUACUUUUACAACUAUCAAAAUCUUGUUAACCACUUAAAGGAGAACAAAGCUAAUUUUUUUAGAUUUCCUGAAUUUCAACUUUCGCUUUUAAAGUGCCAAAUAACUCCUUAUUUGUUGGUCUGUCAGAAAAAAGAUUCACAUUUUCGUGAUCCUCAUCAAAUUUGGGGUCGAAUCCAUGGAUCAGCUCCACUCCAAAUACCCGAAAGUCGUCAAAAAUCGCAAAUUUUCCUGAACAUGUUCAUGAAAAAUCUCGACUUUUGGCUAAAAACACGUCAUUCCAAUCCCAAAUUUGAUAAGGAUCAUGGCAAUUCUACUCUCUUUGUUAUAGAAUCACUAUUUCCGGAGAUAUGGGCUACUUCCGGUUACUUCAGGGAAAUUUUCGUGACGAUAUGCAAAAAGUAAAAAAUGAGCUGUAUUAUUCUAACAAUUUCAAAUGUUUUUCUUGCAUGCGUUAGGGUGUUGCAACUUUUAUUCCGUGUUAUUCUUGCUAUCAAUAGUACAGACUUACCCUACGAUCAACGACAGUUUUCGCUACAACCGCCUCGUCUUGCAACUAGUAGUUGAUAUUCUAGGUUUAAUGUUUAAAAUUGGAAUCAACUGUCUAAGGCGGAAAAACUAGAUGGCGUUGACGUUCGUGUAUGAUAAAUAUUACGAGUGACAAGUCAAAUGGGUGUUUGUUACGUUUCUACCCUGUUUAGUGUUUCAAAGGAUUUUUCGUCAAAAAUUUAGCGAGUUUCGCCUUGUCAGCUGCUGAACCAGUAGCCUGCAUUCCUGCUAUCAAUGUACCACAAGGGAUGCUGACACUUAAAAAAUACAAACAGUGACCACUAUACCCGAGACAUGAACAUCACCAUCCUGUUAAGAGUCUUCGUCUACUAUGUGUUAUGAACCAUCUGUCCUUAGCAUCCAAUGUUUCCAGAUUUUAAAGCUUCUCUGCUUAGCCAACCAUUCUCCAUACACUUCAGCUCUUCAUUGUGGCUUCUCUUCCUCUCUUCUUAGCCUGAUGAAUGCCAACAGGCAUAAAGGUUCAUCUCCAUUGCCUUACCAUGGAAUGGAACUUAUCGUUGUUAAUCCUGCUGCCAAAUCGUCUUCCCGUACGAGUCAUGCAGUUUUAGAUUCCUUAUGGAAUUUCCUUGCAACAUCCACCCAGGCUGAAAAGGGCAUCCUACCAGUUGUUUGGACCAUACCUGCCUCUCCUCGCCGUCUUCGCCCCGCCUUCCUCGCUCAACCGUCUUCGCUUUGCCUUCUUCAAGUUGAUCGUCUUUGCCUCGCCGUCUUCGACUCAUCGUCAUUGCCGCAUCGUUUUUGCUCCCGCCCGGCUUCUCCUCAUCGCCGUCAUCGUGGAACCUCGCGUUUUUGGUAGUUUGUUUUGUUUUGUAUUGUUGUAUGACUAUGUUUAAAGUUAACCCGUUGGCUGCCACCCAUUUUGCUCCCCUUUUUUUUUUAGUUGUAGGGACCGGCGGCGCUGUUCUGCCCCAUGGUUGAUCACCCAUGGGGUGGGACAGUCGCCUUGCGCCUUAGGGCGCCGUAGGCAAUGCACCAGUAGGGACUUCCCUUUGUCGAUGCGAUGAUGGAGUACCUGGGGUGUGCAUUCCCGUAAAGGUCUCCAUCGUCAAGUCAGCCCGGACUUGUCUUCGGACAAGUCCCCCUUUCAUCGGAUCCCUCUGAAACGAUGCGUAGUUAUUGUAGAAGAACAACCUAUGGGUUGUAAUGGCUUGGCAGCCAACGGGUUAACUUAAGUGUUUAUUUUUGUAUGCAUGUAUGUAUUGUAUUUAUUGUAUAACAUGUGAUGUAAAACUGUGGUGGAAUUGUGGGUGGAGGUGGGAUAAUACAUAACCAAUUCCAUUUA
Daphnia magna is the source of this 4940-nucleotide RNA transcript. RefSeq lists it as uncharacterized. Lineage: Eukaryota; Metazoa; Arthropoda; Branchiopoda; Diplostraca; Daphniidae. The record is from RefSeq and is a predicted model, not a curated record. The transcript is spliced from 20 exons.